UGGUAGGAUAGAGGCCUACCAUGGUGGUAACGGGUAACGGGGUGUUAGGGCACGACACCGGAGAGGGAGCCUGAGAAACGGCUACCACAUCCAAGGAAGGCAGCAGGCACGCAAAUUACCCAAUCCCAGUUCGGGGAUGUAGUGACGAAAAAUAACAAAAUAGGACUCUAAUGAGGCCCUAUUAUUGGAAUGAGAACAAUCUAAAUCCUUUAUCGAGGAUCUAUUGGAGGGCAAGUCUGGUGCCAGCAGCCGCGGUAAUUCCAGCUCCAAUAGCGUAUAUUAAAGUUGUUGCAGUUAAAAAGCUCGUAGUUGAAUUUCGGGAUCAAGGAAUCGGUCAUGCCUCGGUAUGUACUGGUUUUAUUGGUUCUCACCUUCUAAAGAACCAUAAUGUCAUUCAUUUGAUGUUAUGGGGAAUUAGGACUGUUACCUUGAAAAAAUUAGAGUGUUUAAAGCAGGCUUACGCUUGAAUACAUUAGCAUGGAAUAAUGAAAUAGGACAUCAGAUUCUAUUUUGUUGGUUUCUAGGAUCGAUGUAAUGAUUAAUAGGGAUAGUUGGGGGCAUUAGUAUUCAAUUGUCAGAGGUGAAAUUCUUGGAUUUAUUGAAGACUAACUACUGCGAAAGCAUUUGCCAAGAAUGUUUUCAUUAAUCAAGAACGAAAGUUAGAGGUUCGAAGGCGAUCAGAUACCGCCCUAGUUCUAACCAUAAACGAUGCCAACCAGCGAUUAGCCUGAGUUCCUUAAAUGACUCGGCUAGCAGCUUCCGGGAAACCAAAGUGUUUGGGUUC
RNAcentral lists this ribosomal RNA (784 nucleotides) under uncultured Glomus. Its description in RNAcentral is "bacterial SSU rRNA". It matches the Rfam family "Eukaryotic small subunit ribosomal RNA", at positions 326 to 1114 of the family's 1831-position model. Lineage: Eukaryota; Fungi; Glomeromycota; Glomeromycetes; Glomerales; Glomeraceae. The record is from RNAcentral.